AUUGAAACAUCGGGUCUCAUACAAUCACUAAAGUUAAGCAACAUCAAGCCUUGUCAGUACCUAGAUGGGUGACAGUUUGGGAAUACCUGGUGCUGUAAG
Non-coding RNA from Acanthosepion pharaonis, 99 nucleotides. The record is from the annotation of a GenBank genome assembly. NCBI's taxonomy places the organism in Eukaryota, Metazoa, Mollusca, Cephalopoda, Sepiida, Sepiidae.